This 258-nucleotide ribosomal RNA is filed under the name uncultured bacterium. RNAcentral's name for it is "partial 16S ribosomal RNA". It matches the Rfam family "Bacterial small subunit ribosomal RNA", at positions 524 to 776 of the family's 1533-position model. The record is from RNAcentral.
UACGUAGGGUGCAAGCGUUAAUCGGAAUUACUGGCGUAAAGCGUGCGCAGGCGGUUUUGUAAGUCUGACGUGAAAUCCCCGGGCUCAACCUGGGAAAUUCGCGUUGGAGACUGCAAGGCUAGAAUCUGGCAGAGGGGGGUAGAAUUCCACGUGUGAGCAGUGAAAUGCGUAGAGAUAGUGGGAGGAACACCGAUGGCGAAGGCAGCCCCCUGGGUCAAGAUUGACGCUCAUGGCACGAAAGCGUGGGGAGCAAACAGG